AAGUCGUAACAAGGUUUCCGUAGGUGAACCUGCGGAAGGAUCAUUCAAUGAGUUUGAACCAGGACUUGAUGCUGACUUCAAAUUUUGAAGUACGUGCUCAGUUCUACUCAAUCCACUCAACACCUGUGCACUUUCAAAGCUGUAGUCCUCCGUCAUGGGAGUCGUAUUUUGUAAUGAAGUACUGGGACUGCUCUUUGCCCAUUUAUCACAAACACUUUAAAGUCUUGUAGAAUGUUAAUAGCCUAUGGGCUUAAGUUAAUACAACUUUCAACAACGGAUCUCUUGGCUCUC
Molecule: unclassified non-coding RNA, 291 nt
Filed under: air metagenome
Description: partial contains small subunit ribosomal RNA, internal transcribed spacer 1, and 5.8S ribosomal RNA
Rfam family: Eukaryotic small subunit ribosomal RNA (bases 1-46)
Source: RNAcentral